AACGAACGCUGGCGGCAGGCCUAACACAUGCAAGUCGAGCGAGGACUUCGGUCCUAGCGGCGGACGGGUGAGUAACGCGUGGGAACGUGCCCUUUGCUUCGGAAUAGCCCUGGGAAACUGGGAGUAAUACCGGAUGAGCCCUUUGGGGGAAAGAUUUAUCGGCGAAGGAUCGGCCGGCGUUGGAUUAGGUAGUUGGUGGGGUAAUGGCCUACCAAGCCGACGAUCCAUAGCUGGUUUGAGAGGAUGAUCAGCCACACUGGGACUGAGACACGGCCCAGACUCCUACGGGAGGGAGCAGUGGGGAAUCUUAGACAAUGGGGGAAACCCUGAUCGAGCCAUGCCGCGUGAGCGAUGAAGGCCUUAGGGUUGUAAAGCUCUUUCAGCUGGGAAGAUAAUGACGGUACCAGCAGAAGAAGCCCCGGCUAACUCCGUG
Molecule: ribosomal RNA, 433 nt
Filed under: uncultured bacterium
Lineage: Bacteria
Description: partial 16S ribosomal RNA
Rfam family: Bacterial small subunit ribosomal RNA
Source: RNAcentral